RNAcentral lists this ribosomal RNA (635 nucleotides) under Matutinus melichari. Its description in RNAcentral is "eukaryotic LSU rRNA". It matches the Rfam family "Eukaryotic large subunit ribosomal RNA", at positions 1367 to 1840 of the family's 3401-position model. Lineage: Eukaryota; Metazoa; Arthropoda; Insecta; Hemiptera; Delphacidae. The record is from RNAcentral.
UUAAGUCUUGACGAGUAAGAGGGUCGCGACGGUGAGCGCAGAAGGGUCAGGGCGAGAGCCUGCCUGGAGCCGCCGUUGGUGCAGAUCUUGGUGGUAGUAGCAAAUACUCUAGCGAGGGCCUGGAGGACUGACGUGGAGAAGGGUUUCUUGUGAACAGCCGUUGCACAAGAGUCAGUCGACCCUGAGCCCUAGGAGAAAUCCGAUGACGAUGGGUGGCUUGACAAUAUAUGCGCACACACAUUGAUUGAACACACGUGUUCUCUGUGUAACACACAUAAUAUCAUAGACCACAGACUGUGUCUGUCGUUUGAGUUAUGCACAACGUGCUGCUUGCGACUGUACAGCUCCUAUUGGGCAAAAGGGAAUCCGGUUCCUAUUCCGGAACCUGGCUGCGUAACUGCAUCUUUGCGGGCACUUGCUUGCGAGCGCUCGUCGGGGUAACCCAAACUGGCCUGGAGACGCCGGCGGGGGGUCUGGAAAGAGUUUUCUUUUCUUUAUAAGCGUUCGAGUACCCUGGAAUCCUAUAGCAGGGAGAUAGGGUUUGGAACGCGAAGAGCACCGCAGUUGCGGCGGUGUCCGGACCUUCCCCCCGGACCUUGAAAAUCCAGGUGAGGGCCACGCGGAAGUCGCGCCAG